AUUUUCAACUCUCUCUCUUUCUCUCUCUCUGUUCUUCUUCUCUCACUCACUCACUCAUGCCUCACAUUUCUCAUCUUUCUCUCUCUCACUUUCACCCUGAAAUACAGGACUCAUUUUAAUGACUACCCACCAUUUUUGAACCUCUUUUUCUCUCACUCUUCUUCUUCACACUCCCUUUUCUCUUCAUUGCUUCUGUCAUCCUUUCCAAAUCUUCCAAACUAUAAAACCUCUCUUUACCUUAAUCUCUUAUAUUUCUCAUAUCACAGUUUCUCAGAUCUGUUCUCACUCUUUCUACAUUUCCUCAUCUUAGUUACAACCCUUUUG
Molecule: long non-coding RNA, 324 nt
Filed under: Lathyrus oleraceus (garden pea)
Lineage: Eukaryota; Viridiplantae; Streptophyta; Magnoliopsida; Fabales; Fabaceae
Description: Pisum sativum (pea) long non-coding RNA (PSAT_LNC003620)
Source: RNAcentral